GCUUCCCUAAUUGGAGGUGCGUGGGGGUGGAGAAAGGAAAAAAAUGUCAUGGCAUGGGUGGAGGUGGAAUAGACGCGGGGGAGGAAGGUUUAUAUAGUGUGUCGGAUUUUAUGGUAAAAAAAAGAGGGUCGGUGUAGAGAGGGGACUAAGGAGAUACAGAGUGUGGUGUCGCGGCGGCGGCGGCGGUUGAGGCUAAGGCCCUCCGAGGCCACCUGAGGGUUGGGUGACGAGUGCCUAGAGGGGCUGAGGGAGAUACAAGAGGGGGCUAUGAAGUGUGGGCAGGUGGCGCGGGGACGUGCGUGCGGUGCGUUGUUGGGAUCAGCGGUUCGCAGCGGCCGCACCGAGGUCAUCGAGACCAAAUAGUCGGUUGAUGGUGACGUAGUGGAGUGCACGUCGUCGGCCGAGCCCUAACUGUAACUAAAUAGAUGAUGUGAUCACGUAACGUUAUUUCUCUUUAGGUACUUAUACGUCUUCUUCGGAACCCUUAAUAAAUUCAGUCAACAAAUAUCGUACUACAAAGGUUUAUCAUCUUCCUACGUACUAACCAGUCGUGUGUUUGAGAACCGGUCCAAUGUCUCUGAGCUAACAAGGUUCAACUACAACAACCGCGAUUUUGUAUCUUGUGGUGAUCACGGUUCCACCUAAAUGAUCCUCUAACGUUAUAACCUACUACGUACCAAGUCUACAACUAACGUUCCAGUUCUUAUCCCCACGAUGAUCUAUCAAAGUGUAACACAGAAAAAGAUCACGGUUACAAAGUUAGUAAUACAAAGACUAUAAAAGACACAGUUACAAAGCUAAUAAUACAAAGUCUUACCGACUCUGCAACCAACGUUCCAGUUCUUACCCUAAUCAUGAUCAAAGUUUAGAACAUUAGAAACAUAGCACAGGAAACAUUAUGUUUGUUCAACUAAAUUAUGUACUCUUUAAAGAAAAAU
Molecule: ribosomal RNA, 938 nt
Filed under: Triticum aestivum (bread wheat)
Lineage: Eukaryota; Viridiplantae; Streptophyta; Magnoliopsida; Poales; Poaceae
Description: partial small subunit ribosomal RNA
Source: RNAcentral